RNAcentral lists this ribosomal RNA (253 nucleotides) under uncultured bacterium. RNAcentral describes it as "partial 16S ribosomal RNA". It matches the Rfam family "Bacterial small subunit ribosomal RNA", at positions 524 to 776 of the family's 1533-position model. The record is from RNAcentral.
UACAGAGGUCUCAACCGUUGUUCGGAUUCAUUGGGCGUAAAGGGUGCGUAGGCGGUCGCGCAAGUCGGAUGUGAAAUCUCAGGGCUCAACCCUGAAACUGCAUUCGAUACUGCGUGGCUUGAGUGCUGGAGAGGAGACUGGAAUUUACGGUGUAGCAGUGAAAUGCGCAGAUAUCAGGAGGAACACCGGUGGCGAAGGCGGUUCUCUGGGCAUGUCCUGACGCUGAGGAGCGAAAGUGUGGGGAGCGAACAGG